GGGCAGAUGGCGAAAUUGGUAGACGCAUCACACUCAAAAUGUGACCCUAGUUAGGAUGAGGGUUCGAAUCCCUUUCUGCUUA
Molecule: transfer RNA, 82 nt
Filed under: Characiopsis acuta
Lineage: Eukaryota; Eustigmatophyceae; Eustigmatales; Chlorobotryaceae
Description: tRNA-Leu
Rfam family: tRNA
About the family: Transfer RNA (tRNA) molecules are approximately 80 nucleotides in length.
Source: RNAcentral